UACGAAGGGGGCUAGCGUUGUUCGGAAUUACUGGGCGUAAAGCGCGCGCAGGCGGUCUUCCAAGUCAGUGGUGAAAGCCUGGAGCUCAACUCCAGAACUGCCAUUGAAACUGUUAGACUUGAGUACGAGAGAGGUGAGUGGAAUUCCCAGUGUAGAGGUGAAAUUCGUAGAUAUUGGGAAGAACAUCAGUGGCGAAGGCGGCCUGCUGGGCUGUUGCUGACGCUGAGGCGCGACAGCGUGGGGAGCAAACAGG
Molecule: ribosomal RNA, 253 nt
Filed under: uncultured bacterium
Lineage: Bacteria
Description: partial 16S ribosomal RNA
Rfam family: Bacterial small subunit ribosomal RNA
Source: RNAcentral